This 77-nucleotide transfer RNA is filed under the name Malonomonas rubra DSM 5091. Its description in RNAcentral is "tRNA_Met_CAT". It matches the Rfam family "tRNA". Rfam says of the family: Transfer RNA (tRNA) molecules are approximately 80 nucleotides in length. Their secondary structure includes four short double-helical elements and three loops (D, anti-codon, and T loops). Further hydrogen bonds mediate the characteristic L-shaped molecular structure. tRNAs have two regions of fundamental functional importance: the anti-codon, which is responsible for specific mRNA codon recognition, and the 3' end, to which the tRNAs corresponding amino acid is attached (by aminoacyl-tRNA synthetases). tRNAs cope with the degeneracy of the genetic code in two manners: having more than one tRNA (with a specific anti-codon) for a particular amino acid; and 'wobble' base-pairing, i.e. permitting non-standard base-pairing at the 3rd anti-codon position. RNAcentral also lists the same sequence under 1 other name. Lineage: Bacteria; Pseudomonadati; Thermodesulfobacteriota; Desulfuromonadia; Desulfuromonadales; Geopsychrobacteraceae. The record is from RNAcentral.
GGGCCUAUAGCUCAGUUGGUUAGAGCCGCCGGCUCAUAACCGGCUGGUCCGAGGUUCGAGUCCUCGUGGGCCCACCA